Molecule: long non-coding RNA, 400 nt
Organism: Patella vulgata (common limpet)
Lineage: Eukaryota; Metazoa; Mollusca; Gastropoda; Patellidae
Exons: 4
Source: RefSeq, a predicted model, not a curated record
UAGAAUGUUUCGCGGGUAAAAUUGAUUAUAAACGAAAGUUUGUUUACAAAUACAAAUUGUAUUUAUCGAAUCUUUUAAAUGUUGUUAAUAAAUUAAUACUUAUAUCGAAGAUGUUAGAAAUGUCAAAAUAUGUUGAAGACAUUUCUUCAAAGCCAACUGCAAAGGAACAAAAUGCUGAAUUACAGGUUUUAGAUGAUUUAUUAAAAUGUCCAUCAUGUUAUGAUUAUAUGAACACAGCUAUGAUUCUUCCAAAUUGUCAACAUAAUUAUUGUUCUUUGUGUAUAAGAAAAUAUUUAUGUUAUAAAACACAAUGUCCUACAUGUUCAGCUUCUGCUACUGGACCAGAACUACGAAAUAAUCGAUUAUUGGAUAGUGUUAUUGAACAAUAUAAAAAACUAAG